This is an unclassified non-coding RNA of Pteropus vampyrus (large flying fox), 303 nucleotides long. Its record names the gene 7SK. It matches the Rfam family "7SK RNA". From Rfam's summary of the family: 7SK was discovered as an abundant small nuclear RNA in the mid-70s but a possible function has only recently been suggested. Two independent studies have found that 7SK RNA binds the CDK9/cyclin T complex (known as elongation factor P-TEFb). NCBI's taxonomy places the organism in Eukaryota, Metazoa, Chordata, Mammalia, Chiroptera, Pteropodidae. The record is from Ensembl.
GGAUGUGAGGGUGAUCGGGCUGCGACAUCUGUCACCCCACUGAUCACCAGGGUUGAUUCAGCUGAUCUGGCUGGCUAGGCGGGUGUUCCCUUCCUCCCUCACCGCUCCAUGUAUGUCCCUCCCGAAGCUGCGCACUUGGGUCAAAGAGGACGACCUUCCCGGAUAGAGGAGAAGACCAUUCUUCUGUCAAUGGUAUAGGAGUAGCUGCGACCCGCUGCUACAAACUCCAAACAAGCUCUCAAGCUUUGAGAGGAGAAAGACAAGCCAACAGAACAGAAACCUACUGCUGAUUCCACAGCCAUU